Molecule: ribosomal RNA, 465 nt
Filed under: Vreelandella stevensii
Lineage: Bacteria; Pseudomonadati; Pseudomonadota; Gammaproteobacteria; Oceanospirillales; Halomonadaceae
Description: partial 16S ribosomal RNA
Rfam family: Bacterial small subunit ribosomal RNA
Source: RNAcentral
CCUACGGGAGGCUGCAGUGGGGAAUAUUGGACAAUGGGCGAAAGCCUGAUCCAGCCAUGCCGCGUGUGUGAAGAAGGCCUUCGGGUUGUAAAGCACUUUCAGUGGGGAAGAAAGCCUUGGGGCUAAUACCCUCGAGGAAGGACAUCACCCACAGAAGAAGCACCGGCUAACUCCGUGCCAGCAGCCGCGGUAAUACGGAGGGUGCGAGCGUUAAUCGGAAUUACUGGGCGUAAAGCGCGCGUAGGCGGUCUGAUAAGCCGGUUGUGAAAGCCCCGGGCUCAACCUGGGAACGGCAUCCGGAACUGUCAGGCUAGAGUGCAGGAGAGGAAGGUAGAAUUCCCGGUGUAGCGGUGAAAUGCGUAGAGAUCGGGAGGAAUACCAGUGGCGAAAGCGGCCUUCUGGACUGACACUGACGCUGAGGUGCGAAAGCGUGGGUAGCAAACAGGAUUAGAUACCCCGGUAGUC